This 211-nucleotide long non-coding RNA is filed under the name Ananas comosus (pineapple). RNAcentral describes it as "long non-coding RNA (ACOM_LNC026129)". Lineage: Eukaryota; Viridiplantae; Streptophyta; Magnoliopsida; Poales; Bromeliaceae. The record is from RNAcentral.
AUUUCAUGAUUUUGUGAGCUCUAUCAUAUGACUUUAAGUGUUUCAUAUUAUGUUUUGAUUGAUCACUAUCAAUGUUAUUCUCUAUUGUCAUAAUUUUUGAACGAUCAAAUCAUUGAAAUUCUGUUUUAGUAUACUGAAUUAAAUUCAACACCUCAUACUUCAAACUUUGAACGUUGAAAUUGUUUUGUUUGAUUAUUAGCUAUGAGAUAAU